GACUUUUGGCCGGAGUGUAGGAAGCAAAGCAAGGAACUGCAACUCUGACUUUGACAGAACCUGUGCAAAGGUAUGAUUAACAUUUAACAGUUGACGAAACUAAAAUGGUAUGCUUCUUAUUUGUUGUGUGUGUGUGUGUGUUCUUUUUAUCAUAAUGGCUAAAGGAACUUCGAUGAAUCCUUAUGGCAAUGUACCUUGGCUUCAAUUAUCCAGACUACAAGCCCUUUUGCACUUGGGGGCAAUGCAGCAAGCCUGUAAUCGACUUCAGGUGGGAAAUACCACCUAGCUAUUGGUUGCUUUCCUACAUGAGCCUAAAUUAGACAGAAACAGCUGUAUGAAAAUAUGAGCAGAGCUGCCAUAUGCUUUUGAGUUUUGAUGAUUGUCAUAUUUACUUAUGCAAUACAUGCAUUGUGCACGGUCAACUUACAGGGCAAACAGGGUAAACUUUAGUGAGAGUAGUUUCAGGAUCACCAAGGCCGCGAGCACUAAGGUCAAGGAAGUAGUAGCCCAGGUAUCUGAGACGAUUAAGAUAACGGCCCUCAUAUCCACCCUCAUGUGGUGUAUAAAUGGCAAUGGCUUUGUGCUUCUCCACAUCUGAAAGCCAACGCCCCAGAUCAGGUUUUAGCAGAUCCCCUCCAAUGAAGUCCCCUAUUUCAAUGCCACUAUUACCACUACAAUUGGUCACUCCAACUCUUUUAGAUGCCUUACCAUUUCUCCUUCUCAAUCCUUGCAUCAUCAUCCAGUUUCGUGUUGGUUGCUGCUUCUGUUGGAUUUUGAUGGAGGCAGGUGUCCCAUAGUGCAAGCAAGGUGCUGCAGCCAUCUAUUUCUUUUAGCUUAAUUGAAGCUUGUGUUGCUUUAGAAAAAAUGAAUGUCAUGACAAAGCAAGAAAAGAAAGAAAGUAAACCAAAGCCAAAGCCACGUUGUAUGGUUGAGAAACAAGAUAAGAAACAAAAUCUCAUUGGCUAAUACUUGGGCCUGGGUUUGGAAAAAGCGGCCCAAGCCCAUAUAUUGAUAAUAAGUCGAGGCCCUUCAAGGCCGGGCCUGGGCUUCUCUAUUA
Molecule: long non-coding RNA, 1057 nt
Filed under: Citrus x clementina
Lineage: Eukaryota; Viridiplantae; Streptophyta; Magnoliopsida; Sapindales; Rutaceae
Description: Citrus clementina (C. clementina) long non-coding RNA (CCLE_LNC002540)
Source: RNAcentral